UCUUAUUAGAUGCAUUUUUGCAGUGAGCUAAUGACAUUACUUCAGAAAGUACUUAUACAUUUGAAAAUGUCCUACAAACAGUGGUGAUUUUCAUAAACAUUUACAAGGAUUUACAUACAGUUCCUGACCACCUAGAGGAUUUCUAAUUCAGCAAAGAGUGAGAAUCAUAGAAAAAAAUUUCACAAAGUAAUGUAAUUAUCUUCCAGAAAGGUUUCGCAUAGAAUAAUUCCUGACACAGGGACACCUAAUCUGUCUGUCUCUAACUGCAAACAUCUAUUCAGUGCCAGCUCUGUGCAUAGCUUUACCUGUCCCUUAAUUAAAAAUAUGGAAGGAAGAGACAAGAUCUCUACUGAGACAGAUGGGAAGAAAGAAGCAUACUCCAGCAGAACUUUAAGAAAAUAAUGAGCAACUUUAAAAGACUAGCAAGAUUGUGCAGUGGUGAAUAUGAAGAAGAUCUGCCGGAGCCAGGUCUUGGGGUGGCCGUAAGGAAAUCCAUGAGCCUUUACCACACACGCAGUGGGUGGCAGGUCAGGAUGAUAAUCUGAAAACUGUCAUCAUAAGAAACAG
RNAcentral lists this long non-coding RNA (567 nucleotides) under Ailuropoda melanoleuca (giant panda). Its description in RNAcentral is "lncRNA (ENSAMEG00000024526.1)". Lineage: Eukaryota; Metazoa; Chordata; Mammalia; Carnivora; Ursidae. The record is from RNAcentral.